This 839-nucleotide ribosomal RNA is filed under the name Peniophora quercina. RNAcentral's name for it is "LSU rRNA". It matches the Rfam family "Eukaryotic large subunit ribosomal RNA", at positions 1 to 869 of the family's 3401-position model. Lineage: Eukaryota; Fungi; Basidiomycota; Agaricomycetes; Russulales; Peniophoraceae. The record is from RNAcentral.
UUGACCUCAAAUCAGGCGGGACUACCCGCUGAACUUAAGCAUAUCAAUAAGCGGAGGAAAAGAAACUAACAAGGAUUCCCCUAGUAACUGCGAGUGAAGCGGGAUGAGCUCAAAUUUAAAAUCUGGCGUCUUCGGCGUCCGAGUUGUAAUUUAGAGAAGUGUUUUCCGCGCCGGACCGUGUACAAGUCUCCUGGAACGGAGCGUCAUAGAGGGUGAGAAUCCCGUCUUUGACACGGACCCCCGGUGCUCUGUGAUACGCUCUCGAAGAGUCGAGUUGUUUGGGAAUGCAGCUCAAAAUGGGUGGUGAACUCCAUCUAAAGCUAAAUAUUGGCGAGAGACCGAUAGCGAACAAGUACCGUGAGGGAAAGAUGAAAAGCACUUUGGAAAGAGAGUGAAACAGUACGUGAAAUUGUUGAAAGGGAAACGCUUGAAGUCAGUCGCGUCCGCCAGGGUUCAGCCUCACGGUGUACUCUCUGGUGGACGGGCCAGCAUCACUUUCGAUCGUCGGACAAGGGAGUUGGGAAUGUGGCACCUCCGGGUGUGUUAUAGCCCUUCUUCGUAUACGGCGACCGGGAGUGAGGACCGCCUUUGUAGGAUGCUGGCGUAAUGGCUUUAAACGACCCGUCUUGAAACACGGACCAAGGAGUCUAACAUGCCCGCGAGUGUUCGGGUGGAAAACCCGUGCGCGUAAUGAAAGUGAAAGUUGGGAAGGCUGUCGCGGCCUGCACCGACGCCCGGACUCGAGAUUUAUCUAAGGUUCUGCGGUAGAGCGUGUAUGUUGGGACCCGAAAGAUGGUGAACUAUGCCUGAAUAGGGUGAAGCCAGAGGAAACUCUGGUG